GACAUUGACAACCCAGCCCUCCUAGGCACAGAGAGAUGGAGCUGAGUGUGGUUUUCCUGAAAUAAAGCUUGCAUUAUGAGAGGGAAUAAACAGAAGAAAAAAAUAAACCUGCACAGUUUGCUGAUGUUACACAGUGCCUCAGCUCAGAAUGGAUUUGGGAUCAGGCAUUAUUGAGUCUUCUUGGAAUCUGCUAGUUGGAAGGGUCCUCAGAUGUACUUCCGUUUUUAACUUAGCCAUUUCAAGCUCCUACUCAGCGAAGACUCCCCCUCCAGGGAAAUUGACCAUUGCUUCCAGACAUGUGUGGGAGUCCAGAACAUGCCACUCCAAAAGGAGGAUUGUCGAGCUGAAGACAAUUAAGAAGAAACAGAUGCAGGAAAGCUCUCUGCCCUCCAUUUGCUUAAAUGCAGGACAGAGAUUUACAAGAUAAAAGACAUCCUGCCCCUGUCUUUUACCAGGGAGAACAAAGGUUAACCACUGAAGACAGUUUUAGACCAUUAUCUGCCAGGAGUAGGAGCCAGAGGAAUCUACCUGAACAUGCUUUACCAACUCGCUUUUAUCUGCCGGUUACUUGCUUCCCCGCAGAGAAGUCCCCUCUAGAGACCCAAAGUCCUUUUCCUUUGUCCUGUCACUUCUCUAAAAAUCACUAUUCUUUGUUGAAGAUGCUAUACAAGCUGGAAUUCAAAGCUAUUUCUUUGAGAACUACUCCUUCCCUGGGUGUCUGCCAUGAGAACUACUCCUUUCCUGGGUGUCUGCCAUGUAGAUGUGAAAUAUACAUGUAAAUAAACUUGUUUUUCUCGUGUG
Molecule: long non-coding RNA, 801 nt
Organism: Homo sapiens (human)
Lineage: Eukaryota; Metazoa; Chordata; Mammalia; Primates; Hominidae
Source: Ensembl